UAAGCAGUCCUUGACGUGGCCUGCUUUCUCCAUUCCCCAUCUGAUGUUUCUGCCCAGACCCCCGGGAGCCCGGGCCUGGCCUCUAGCUGGCUCACAAGACGUUCUGGACUGAAGGGAAAGGCACUUAGGGAAAAGUCUCGGUUGAAGCAACUGGGGCCAAUAAGGACCAGAAACGGAUGAGAUGCUCCAGCAAGAAGCAGAGGGCCUGAAAGAGAAAUCUGGACCCCAGACACAGGAAGAAAGGCAGAAGACAGCCAGCGUCCAGGCACUUCAAAGAAACCCACUUGGAAGCCAGGACUUGGGGAGCUAGGCAAGGAUGUCUCACAAAUGCAGUUCCCCAAGUGUGUUUCUGCAAAACUCCUUGAAGGUUCUGAGGGGGCGAACAGGAGAGAACUUCCAGACAAGGAGAGCAAGAGGGACUUUGCAGAUGUGAUUACGUUAAGGAUCUUGGGAUGGGGAGACCCUGGAAUAUCUGGGUGAGCCCAAUGUAAUCACAAGGGUCCUUCUAAGAGGAAACCGGAAGAGACAGAGGAGAAAAAGGCAAUGUGGCAACAGAAACAGAGAUCGGAGCGAUAUGGCUGGAAGCCAAGGAAUGCCAGCAAACUCUAGAAGCUGCAAGAGACAAGAAACGGAUUCUCCCCUGGAGCCUCCCCAAGGAAGGAGCCCUGUCGACACCUUGACUUUAGCACAGUCAGCCUGCUUUUGGACUUUGACCUCCGGAAAUGAGCCAGGCACCUGGUCUGAGUUUUCUUAUCACCCUGAUCACAAAAGCACACGUCUUCUUAAACUACAGACAUCUCGGAUCGGGUACCUGUUGCACACCUCCUCGGAUCCUUGUGGCCACACUUGUCUUCUACUCUGGUCACCGCGGUGGUUUGGGACACGGCAGAUGACCGUCGGCAUCCUCGCCAACGCUACCUGGAAGUGCUGGGGAGUUAACGCCUCAUGGAAUAUUCUCUGACCAACGGAGGAUACAAACAGAUGGAUACACGCUACCUGCUUUCUCGCACCACGUUGGCAGUCCUGAGGUGCGUGUCACAUGGGCCUCUCACGUGCUUUGUGGGGUCAACCAACUCAGUAAGAGAACCUCUCAUUGCUUCACUCUCCUUCACUGCUGCUUCUGGGGAUCACAAUCCCCAGCAAAGUAUUUGCAAGGUAGGUAUCUUUCUCUGGUCGUCCUCUCUGGGGAAACCAGACUAAGACACAUUCUUUGUUCUUUCCCGAUUCCAAAAUAUUCUUCCUCGUCUGAGCUAAAAACUAACCCUUCCCAUUUCCUGAGAGAGUUUUCUUCUAUAAUGAUAUCCUCCCCUCCUCCAGUAAGUAAAAUCUUGACAGUUUUAAGGGAUGUAUCCUGAGAGUUUCAAAAAAGCCUACUUUUUGAGUACCUCUCUUAGAUAUAAUUACCUCCAUAAAAUAGAGUACCUGAAACAUCAAAGUGAUGUCUUGAGACUCUUAAAUGGUUUUAUGAAGUGCUAAAGCAAUUUUUCAUAGUACAUCACCUGCAUAGCAACAUUAUCCAUGAGCUUGCCUGGAUCUACAAAGAAGUAGAGUUCCUACCAUUUCAUGAGAGUUCAAGCAUAUACAGAGAUUGGUAGAGAAUCACAAUGGUGUGGUAUGAUACCAACGUUGGGCAGCCGGCCGGUGUGGCUCUCCAAAUAACUGAUCAUUCACGUACAGCAGUUUCAUGACAGACAUGAGUACAACGUGUGCCUUGGCAGAAUUGAAAAAUGACUACCUACCUUGGACUGUGGGGGUCAAUGGCAAAUGGUAAGGAUCGUGAACAUGGAGGCCACAAAUGCCAGAGAUCUACUUUCUAACUCUAAAUCUCUACUAUCUGGACUUUGAACUUCAGAGGUGCACAACCUCCUCCCCCUGAAAAGGCAGACCUUCACCCGACUUUAUAGUGCCCCUAAGCUACUAUUGUAUUGUCAACUAGAUCCAUGGAAACUUCACUCUCCAGGAACUCCCUUGACUUUCUUUUCAAAUCUAGUGACUCUUUGUAAGCCUUCAUAUACUUAACCCUCUGUGUGGUUCUUGACUAUUAGCCGACGCUUCCUUGGUCCUCUAUUGUCCUCCAUGAUUCUGUGAUUUUUCUCUGGUGUUCACUUAUUGAUGACAUCACCUCUUUCUGUCAUCUCUUAUGGAAAUUCUUUCUCUUUCCUUCGAGCACUACCUGAAGCUCAUUCCUUGUUUCUUAUCUUCCUUCACAUUUCUUCUUUAUGAAUCCCCAUCCUUAUCCUAAGGUUACCUCCACUUGGAGAACAAAUUCAAUGCAGUGUAACUUAACUCAACAUAGGAGGGCUAUCUUCUUGAUACUUGGUAAUCCAUCCUCGGCAAGAAUGCCUCCAGGAAAGAAGGUUUUACCUUUUCACAUGGCAGCUUUUUCAUUUCUGGAGCCCUCUGAUGUGUAAAGUGGUUCAUUACAUAUGGCUGAAUCGGUCUCCUGGUAAUUUUGAGACAUUGAUUGUUAUUCUGUCCCCCAAAGUCACAUUGAAAAAAAAUCUUCCCUCUUCUUGACAGCCCUUAACAAUACCCUGUUGUCUUCUACUAAGCUUUUCUUAAUCCCUCAGACUCCAAAUCCCAGAAAGACUUUUGAUUCUUCCUUC
Leopardus geoffroyi (Geoffroy's cat) is the source of this 2606-nucleotide long non-coding RNA. RefSeq lists it as uncharacterized. The record is from RefSeq and is a predicted model, not a curated record. The transcript is spliced from 5 exons. Lineage: Eukaryota; Metazoa; Chordata; Mammalia; Carnivora; Felidae.